Molecule: long non-coding RNA, 209 nt
Filed under: Sorghum bicolor (sorghum)
Lineage: Eukaryota; Viridiplantae; Streptophyta; Magnoliopsida; Poales; Poaceae
Description: long non-coding RNA (SBIC_LNC011011)
Source: RNAcentral
ACCUUUUACCUUGGGAGUCAUCACAACCUAUCCAAACAUCCCAGUAUAGGUUAAGUUCUAGGUUGAUUGCCAGGAUUCAAAACCUAUCUUUUUCAGGAAAGGAAGACGAAAACCCUUGGCAUUGAAGGCAUUUUUGAUAAAACUUUACGUUGGAAGCUUUUUCCUUUUUCUUUAAGGGGAGAAGCUAGACAAUGGUAUAAUCAGAAGGU